GCGGGAGGGGGCGCUGCGGGGCCGACCGGCCGCGGCGCGGAGGAAGUGCCGUCUUCCCGCCGCCUCAGCCGCCUCAGGCACGCCGCGGGGGCCGCCUCAGCCGCGCGGGCCGCGAUGUCUUCCCGGCCCGGGCGCGACGACGCGGGGGCCGGGGGCGUGCGGCGGCCGCGGGAGCCGGCCGAGCAGGAGCUGCAGCGGCGCCGGGAGCAGAAGCGGCGGCGGCACGACGCGCAGCAGCUGCAGCAGCUCAAGCACCUGGAGUCCUUUUAUGAAAAACCUCCUCCUGGGCUUAUCAAGGAAGAUGAAACCAAGCCAGAAGACUGUAUACCAGAUGUACCAGGCAACGAACAUGCCAGGGAAUUUCUGGCUCACGCACCAACGAAAGGACUCUGGAUGCCACUGGGGAAAGAAGUCAAAGUUAUGCAGUGUUGGCGUUGUAAACGGUAUGGUCACCGAACAGGCGACAAAGAAUGCCCUUUCUUUAUCAAAGGCAACCAAAAGUUAGAACAGUUCAGAGUAGCACAUGAAGAUCCCAUGUAUGACAUCAUACGAGAGAAUAAAAGACAUGAAAAGGAUGUAAGGAUACAGCAGUUGAAACAGUUACUGGAGGAUUCUACAUCUGAUGAGGAUGGAAGUAGCUCCAGUUCCUCGGAAUGUAAAGAGAAACACAAGAAAAAGAAAAAGAAAGAAAAGCAUAAGAAAAGGAAGAAAGAAAAGAAGAAGAAGAAGAAACGAAAGCAUAAGUCUUCCAAGUCGAAUGAGAGUUCAGACUCGGACUGACAACAACUUGACUUGUUCAACAUUCUCUUCUCCCUAAUCAGACACUGUGGCCAAAGACCAGAGGAUGUGGAAUCGGGGAGGACUAGGAGAGAGCCGCCUAGAGAGCAGGGUAUUUGGUGUCACGUGUGUGAAUUCUCACCUGCCUUCCAGCAAAGAUGUGACCCAGGAGGGCCAAUCUCCACCUGUGCCCUGGACCCCAACUCUCAGCCAGCAGUGGAGGGCAGGGAUUAAGAGCACUGGCUCUGGAGGAUCCACACUGCCUGGUUUUGAAAUCCAGCUGCACCAUUCGUGAGCUAUCAGACUGUGCAAGUUGCCUGACCUCUCUGUGCUGCCAUUUCCUUGACAGAUAAUAUUUACCUCCUAGAAUCAUCGAGAAUUAAGUGACUUGAUAGUUGUAAAACAUCUAGAACACAGUUUGGAACAUUUCAAUUGCUAAAUGAAUGUUAGUUGCUCCUGCAUACUUAUGCUAUCAUCAUUAUCUGUUCCUGCUUCCUCAGGGAUCUUCCUCCUUUCCUUAUCCCACUGCACUCUCUGUUGCCACUGGCAUUUAAAAACUGUUUUGAAAUUAUAACAGUAGGGACACCUGGCUGGCUGAGUCA
Non-coding RNA from Callorhinus ursinus (northern fur seal), 1379 nucleotides. NCBI's taxonomy places the organism in Eukaryota, Metazoa, Chordata, Mammalia, Carnivora, Otariidae. The record is from RefSeq and is a predicted model, not a curated record.